GUGGAAACGUAACGAAAACCGAAACAGCCCUAUCUGGUGAAAACACAGAGACAGGAACAAUCACCCACAAACACACAGUGAAACCUCCUAGCCACGGCAACCCUACUUAAUAACACGGGACAGAGGGGCAGCUCGGGACAGAGGGGCUGCUCGGGACAGAGGGGCAGCUCGGGACAGAGGGGCUGCUCGGGACAGAGGGGCAGCUCGGGACAGAGGGGCAGCUCGGGACAGAGGGGCAUCUCGGGACAGAGGGGCAGCUCGGGACAGAGGGGCAUCUCGGGACAGAGGGGCAGCUCGGGACAGAGGGGCAGCUCGGGACAGAGGGGCUCUUCAGACUCCGACAGCACAGGAGAGGAGGAAGGCUCUGGCAGAUCCUGGCUGACUGGCGGAUCUGGAAGAGUCUGGCUGACUGGCGGAUCUGGAAGAGUCUGGCAGACUGGCGGAUCUGGAAGGGUGUGGCAGACUGGCGGAUUUGGAAGAGUCUGGCAGACUGGCGGAUCUGGAAGAGUCUGGCAGACUGGCGGAUCUGGAAGAGUCUGGCUGACUGGCGGAUCUGGAAGAGUCUGGCAGACUGGCCAAUCUAGAAGAGUCUGGCUGACUGGCGGAUCCUGGCUGACUGGCAGAUCUGGAAGAUUCUGGCGGAUCCUGGCUGACUGGCAGUUCUGGCAGAUCCUGGCUGACUGGCGGAUCCUGGCAGACUGGUGGAUCCUGGCAGACUGGCGGAUCCUGGCUGGCUGGCGGAUCUAACUGAUCCUGGCAGACUGGCGGCACUUGCGGCGCUGGACAGACUGGCGGCACUGGGCAGACUGGCGGAACUGGCGGCGCUGGGCAGACUGACGGCACUGGCGGCGCUGGGCAGACUGACGGCACUGGUGGCGCUGGGCAGACUGGCGGCACUGGAAGAGUCUGGUUGACUGGCGGAUCUGGAAGAGUCUGGUUGACUGGCGGAUCUGGAAGAGUCCGGUUGACUGGCGGAUCUGGAAGAGUCCGGUUGACUGGCGGAUCUGGAAGAGUCAGGCUGACUGGCAGAUCUGGAAGAGUCUGGCUGACUGGCAGAUCUGGAAGAGUCUGGCUGACUGGCAGAUCUGGAAGAGUCUGGCUGACUGGCGGAUCUGGAAGAGUCUGGCUGACUGGCGGAUCUGGAAGGGUCUGGCAGACUGGCGGAUCUGGAAGGGUCUGGCAGACUGGCGGAUCUGGAAGGGUGUGGCAGACUGGCGGAUUUGUAAGAGUCUGGCAGACUGGCGGAUCUGGAAGAGUCUGGCAGACUGGCGGAUCUGGAAGAGUCUGGCUGACUGGCGGAUCUGGAAGAGUCUGGCAGACUGGCCGAUCUAGAAGAGUCUGGCUGACUGGCGGAUCCUGGCUGACUGGCAGAUCUGGAAGAGUCUGGCGGAUCCUGGCUGACUGGCAGUUCUGGCAGAUCCUGGCUGACUGGCGGAUCCUGGCAGACUGGUGGAUCCUGGCAGACUGGCGGAUCCUGGCUGGCUGGCGGAUCUAACUGAUCCUGGCAGACUGGCGGCACUUGCGGCGCUGGACAGACUGGCGGCACUGGGCAGACUGGCGGAACUGGCGGCGCUGGGCAGACUGAUGGCACUGGCGGCGCUGGGCAGACUGACGGCACUGGCGGCGCUGGGCAGACUGGCGGCACUGGAAGAGUCUGGUUGACUGGCGGAUCUGGAAGAGUCCGGCUGACUGGCAGAUCUGGAAGAGUCUGGCUGACUGGCAGAUCUGGAAGAGUCUGGCUGACUGGCGGAUCUGGAAGAGUCUGGCUGACUGGCGGAUCUGGAAGAGUCUGGCUGACUGGCGGAUCUGGAAGAGUCUGGCUGACUGGCGGAUCUGGAAGAGUCUGGCUGACUGGCAGAUCUGGAAGAGUCUGGCUGACUGGCAGAUCUGGAAGAGUCUGGCUGACUGGCGGAUCUGGAAGAGUCUGGUUGACUGGCAGAUCUGGAAGAGUCUGGCUGACUGGCGGAUCAUGGCAGACUGACUGAUCUGGCUGCUCAACGCUGACUGGCGG
This is a long non-coding RNA of Oncorhynchus tshawytscha (Chinook salmon), 2011 nucleotides long. Lineage: Eukaryota; Metazoa; Chordata; Actinopteri; Salmoniformes; Salmonidae. The record is from Ensembl.